GGAUCAAGCCGGAGGAGUGGCUGUUCUCUCCCAGCGUUAACACACAUGUGUAUGUUCUGGUCUUAACACAGACUACUCUACUAACUACUGGUCUAAAACACACCUGGAUCAGACUACUCUACUAACUACUGGUCUAAAACACACCUGGAUCAGACUACUCUACUAACUACUGGAUCAGACUACUCUACUAACUACUGGUCUAAAACACACCUGGAUCAGACUACUCUACUAACUACUGGUCUAAAACACACCUGGAUCAGACUACUCUACUAACUACUGGUCUAAAACACACCUGGAUCAGACUACUCUACUAACUACUGGAUCAGACUACUCUACUAACUACUGGAUCAGACUACUCUACUAACUACUGGAUCAGACUACUCUACUAACUACUGGUCUAAAACACACCUGGAUCAGACUACUCUACUAACUACUGGAUCAGACUACUCUACUAACUACUGGUCUAAAACACACCUGGAUCAGACUACUCUACUAACUACUGGUCUAAAACACACCUGGAUCAGACUACUCUACUAACUACUGGUCUAAAACACACCUGGAUCAGACUACUCUACUAACUACUGGUCUAAAACACACCUGGAUCAGACUACUCUACUAACUACUGGUCUAAAACACACCUGGAUCAGACAACUAACUACUGGUCUAAAACACACCUGGAUCAGACUACUCUACUAACUACUGGAUCAGACUACUCUACUAACUACCGGUCUAAAACCCACCUGGAUCAGACUCAUUUCCACAGAAAAUGGAGCUGCCGUUCUCUGGUCUGGAGUUGACCUUCAUCAUGAUCGCCUUCAUCAUAUUCUCUCUCUUCAGCCUGGCCUCAGUCUGUACUCAGCCAGACACAGAGGAAGCUGUGUGUGAAGAGAAGAGGUUCCAAAGGAGACCAGAGAGGAAGCAACGAGUCAUCGUCAAACUGGCCUCUCAGAAAGAACCCUAAACACUGUCCCAAACUGGCCUCUCAGGAAGAACCCUAAACACUGUCCCAAACUGGCCUCUCAGAAAGAACCCUAAACACUGUCCCAAACUGGCCUCUCAGGAAGAACCCUAAACACUGUCCCAAACUGGCCUCUCAGGAAGAACCCUAAACACUGUCCCAAACUGGCCUCUCAGGAAGAACCCUAAACACUGUCCCAAACUGGCCUCUCAGGAAGAACCCUAAACACUGUCCCAAACUGGCCUCUCAGAAAGAACCCUAAACACUGUCCCAAACUGGCCUCAGAAAGAACCCUAAACACUGUCCCAAACUGGCCUCUCAGGAAGAACCCUAAACACUGUCCCAAACUGGCCUCUCAGAAAGAACCCUAAACACUGUCCCAAACUGGCCUAUCAGAAAGAACCCUAAACACUGUCCCAAACUGGCCUCUCAGAAAGAACCCUAAACACUGUCCCAAACUGGCCUCUCAGAAAGAACCCUGAACACUGUCCCAAACUGGCCUCUCAGGAAGAACCCUAAACACUGUCCCAAACUGGCCUCUCAGGAAGAACCCUAAACACUGUCCCAAACUGGCCUCUCAGAAAGAACCCUAAACACUGUCCCAAACUGGCCUCUCAGAAAGAACCCUAAACACUGUUUCCUGAUGGAUAAUGUAGUGUCUGUCUGUCUGUUU
Oncorhynchus gorbuscha (pink salmon) is the source of this 1631-nucleotide long non-coding RNA. RefSeq lists it as uncharacterized. NCBI's taxonomy places the organism in Eukaryota, Metazoa, Chordata, Actinopteri, Salmoniformes, Salmonidae. The record is from RefSeq and is a predicted model, not a curated record. The transcript is spliced from 3 exons.